Molecule: ribosomal RNA, 457 nt
Filed under: uncultured bacterium
Lineage: Bacteria
Description: partial 16S ribosomal RNA
Rfam family: Bacterial small subunit ribosomal RNA
Source: RNAcentral
CCUACGGGGUGCAGCAGUGGGGAAUAUUGCACAAUGGGGGAAACCCUGAUGCAGCGACGCCGCGUGAGUGAAGCAGUAUUUCGGUACGUAAAGCUCUAUCAGCAGGGAAGAAAAAAAGUCCUUUGGACUUUGGACGGUACCUGACCAAGAAGCCCCGGCUAACUACGGGCCAGCAGCCGCGGUAAUACGUAGGGGGCAAGCGUUAUCCGGAUUUCCUGGGUGUAAAGGGAGCGUAGACGGCAGCGCAAGUCUGGAGUGAAAUGCCGGGGCCCAACCCCGGAACUGCUUUGGAAACUGUGCAGCGGGAGUGCAGGAGAGGUAAGCGGAAUUCCUAGUGUAGCGGUGAAAUGCGUAGAUAUUAGGAGGAACACCAGUGGCGAAGGCGGCUUACUGGACUGUAACUGACGUUGAGGCUCGAAAGCGUGGGGAGCAAACAGGAUUAGAUACCCGAGUAGUC